ACAUCUAUAUAAUGAUCAAUGUAAGCAAGUUGGAUCGAUGGUGGCUAAUCUGAGUAUAAGGAGCGUGCUGCCUAUGAUGGUAUCAAUCAAAUCUUUAGAAAGGAGACGCCUCUUGGUUGAUAUAACUACCAUGUUGCAAUUUGGAAUUUUCCUCAUUACGUUCAUCGGUCUUAU
Molecule: small RNA, 174 nt
Filed under: Staphylococcus sp. 8AQ
Lineage: Bacteria; Bacillati; Bacillota; Bacilli; Caryophanales; Staphylococcaceae
Description: rli28
Rfam family: Listeria sRNA rli28
Source: RNAcentral